AUCAUGUCCAAGAACAUUCUCGAGAUCCGCUUCAGUCCAGCCACGUUUUGUCCGCGCACCGUUUGCGCAUUUCGAGAACAUGCCGUGUGUUCUCUGAAUCGUGUGAGGUGCUGAAGCGUGAGAAUGGGCUUAAACGCCGUUAGUGGUUCGCAGAUUCACGCUCUUUCCUCUCCGCCCGGCGGCGAUUGCAAAUUCAUCACCGCCAGCGACAAACAAUUAUCACCGGCGGCGAAUGGCAUUAAUUGGAACAACGAAACAAGAUGAAAUGCAAAUUUCAGACAAGGUCUCUAUCAGGAAGCUGUCUACAUCUCAUCCUCGAAGAGGAACACAGAGAGUCCGAAAGAUUUAUACAAGCCAUACCCAUGUAGAAACCCGAAAAUUGAAGUCAAAGGCUUCAUCACAAGCUGAUACCAAUUUGGCGACAUCCACCGCAAGGAUUCUACCUUCUAUUUUUGGCAAUUCUUCGGCUUCGACCUAGUUGACCUCUGAGCCUAUUUCCGAUCGAACAGCACAUUGUUCUAUUCGGCCCUCGAAUGGGAAACAGCCCUCGAAGAAAGCUCAUCCCUCACCGACUUUUUCAGAAGAUGUGCGGGGAAAAGAGAAUCAGUCCUGUACCCCAGUGAAGAGGCCCCCCCAUUGUCCCCAUUGAGAAUAGAUCAGUAGAGAAGCGUUUGGAUCCUCUGAAGCUACAGCUAGAAUGUGGAGCCAUAGAACAAGACACAGAAGAACAGAGCACAUCAGUUGUUCUUGAAGAAACAACACCAAAAGGAGGGAGCGUGAUGAUUGUUUGUCGCCGGCGGUGAUGAUUUUACAGUCGCCGCCGGGCGGAGAGGAGAGAGCGUGAAUCUACGACAGAAGAGGAGAGGAAUGGAGAGAGCGUAAGUCUACCACACCACUAACGGGGUUUAAGCCCAUUCGCACGCUUCAGCACCUCACACGAUUCGGACACGCGGCGCAUCUGCUGAAUACGUGAACAGUGCACGGACAAAACGUGCUUGGAUUGAAGCCGAACUCAACAUUCUCAACUGCCAAUGUUUUCUCCUCAGAUCAUAGGUCUAAGCCUGGUUUGGGCCUAGCACUGCCCAGAUAUGGGCCACAUGGCUAAACUUGGGCUAAUCCAAGGGAUCUCUAACUUAAAUUGACCCAAAACUUGUAUGUAAGGCUAUGUUUGUUUUUUUAUAAAAUGGGCAUAAAUAUUUAUAAAUAGAAAUACUAUGGUAAAAGCUUUGAUUUUUGA
Molecule: non-coding RNA, 1237 nt
Organism: Nelumbo nucifera (sacred lotus)
Lineage: Eukaryota; Viridiplantae; Streptophyta; Magnoliopsida; Proteales; Nelumbonaceae
Source: RefSeq, a predicted model, not a curated record